UUCAGGCCUCUGCUAGAUCCUGUGGGAGGGGAGAUAAGCAGGUUUAAAUAGUGCCGCUCAUCCUUGGUAGAAGGGGAGUUGUGCCUUAAGAGGUGUGGAUAAUGGGUGAGAGAGGAGUGGGGGCCUUCUGAUGUGGGACCUGGGAGGCUUCUUGGAAGAGGUGGCAUUUGAGCUCUUUGCUGAGAGACGACUGUUCUCUUUGACUAGUCUGCUUGAUGUGGCAGCCUCGACUCUUCUGUUCCCUGAAACUCUCCAUCUGAUUUUCUGGCGCUCUGUCAUGCAGCACCGCUUCCUGUCCCUGUGUUCUCUGGCGGGAUUUUUUGUUUCCGGUGUCUCCUAGGUCCUCUAUCUUUCUCUUCCCUCUUCCUCAGAGAUGUUUAUGUCUGCAGCUUUGAGUUUUGCCUGCACAGAGCUUGAGCCUCAGCUGUCUGAACGUCUGUCCUUUGUUUCCAGCCUGGCUCACCAGCAGCUCCCACUGAACUUGUCUGGAUCUCUCUCCCCCACAGUCGCAGCCUCCCUCCCUCCUUUUUCUUUCCCUGACUGGUGAGUGCCUGCUCUCUGCUAGGUGCUAGUUGAUCGUUCUUUAGAUUCCUCAGGCUUGGAGUCUCAGUCGUUUCUGUUGUCUCUCCCUUACCACUCCUGUGUAAACAACCAUUUUAUUUCUCUGUAUUCUUUCCGAUGUGUUUUGCAAUCUUUUGAGUUCUGCUCCUGCCCGUUAUCUGUGUGCUGGGAUCCCUGCAGUGGCCUUCUGGUGUCGAUCGCCUUCCUGCUCCUCGUCACUCUUGGCAUCACCACGACUUAGUGAGUGUCUGCCACGUUUGGAAUGUUGCCAGGAUUCCAUGUUUUAUAGAUCGAAAAAGGGAAUCGUGGGGAGGCUAGAACAGACCUGAAGUAGUAAAGGAGCCCAUCACCAACUCCACGUGUGAGCCCACUGGACCACUGGAUGGCGACGAAGACUGACAGGUUGCAGCCCCCCAGAUGGAGCAGGAACUGGGGCUGGGCCCAGGUCCAGGCGUAGCAGCUCUGGAGGAGAUGUAAUUCGUUGAGGACUACAGAAAAUGCCACCAGCCAAACCACCCCGUAUCAGUCUUUCGUCCACAGUUAGUAUGUGAGCUCUACACAGUGAAAUGGAGUUAGUUGGCCGAAAGCAGUCUGUUACCAUGAUUGAUUUUUGAAAAAGGCCUUGUGAGGUAGGCAUGGCAGGCAUUAUUGCCCCCAUUUCACAGCUGAGCAAACAGAGUUUCAGAGAGGUUUGGUGGAAGUCCUGUCUGUGAUGAUUUGGGGAGAACCUGGGCUUCUUUUACAAAUCCCCAGAUUUCCAGGGAAUGUUUCCUUACCUACCCACUCCCUCCCCAACCCCAGUCACACAACAAAGGACACAUGGAAAUAAGAGAGCAGGUCAUCCGUGAAGCCAUCCGAUGUAGUCCCUUUGUUAGAGGUGACAGAGCCCUAGCUCAAGAAGCAGCGUCUGGAGAGAACGAGAGAGAGGACGGAACUCAGAGAAUUUACAAGGACUGCCAAGAAUGAGACCUGCGUAGCAACCCUCCUCCCAGUUUUCAACUAUACCUGAGCGUUAGGAUAGAAGGCGCUGACAUCAGCGUUGCCAUGAUCUUGCAUGAUAUUUUUACAGUGCAGGCUCCCUCCUGCUGCCUACCUGGAUCCCUCUUCCGUGUCUGAAUUGUCCCAAAACACAGGAGCCCAAGGGCUUUUAUUUUUUCACUU
RNAcentral lists this long non-coding RNA (1722 nucleotides) under Equus caballus (horse). RNAcentral describes it as "lncRNA (ENSECAG00000055619.1)". The record is from RNAcentral. Lineage: Eukaryota; Metazoa; Chordata; Mammalia; Perissodactyla; Equidae.